This 767-nucleotide ribosomal RNA is filed under the name Sphingomonas sp. B269. RNAcentral's name for it is "bacterial SSU rRNA". It matches the Rfam family "Bacterial small subunit ribosomal RNA", at positions 28 to 836 of the family's 1533-position model. The record is from RNAcentral. Lineage: Bacteria; Pseudomonadati; Pseudomonadota; Alphaproteobacteria; Sphingomonadales; Sphingomonadaceae.
AACGAACGCUGGCGGCAUGCCUAACACAUGCAAGUCGAACGAGAUCUUCGGGUCUAGUGGCGCACGGGUGCGUAACGCGUGGGAAUCUGCCCUUUGGUUCGGAAUAACAGUUGGAAACGACUGCUAAUACCGGAUGAUGACGAAAGUCCAAAGAUUUAUCGCCAGAGGAUGAGCCCGCGUAGGAUUAGCUAGUUGGUGUGGUAAAGGCGCACCAAGGCGACGAUCCUUAGCUGGUCUGAGAGGAUGAUCAGCCACACUGGGACUGAGACACGGCCCAGACUCCUACGGGAGGCAGCAGUGGGGAAUAUUGGACAAUGGGCGAAAGCCUGAUCCAGCAAUGCCGCGUGAGUGAUGAAGGCCUUAGGGUUGUAAAGCUCUUUUACCCGGGAUGAUAAUGACAGUACCGGGAGAAUAAGCUCCGGCUAACUCCGUGCCAGCAGCCGCGGUAAUACGGAGGGAGCUAGCGUUGUUCGGAAUUACUGGGCGUAAAGCGCACGUAGGCGGCUUUGUAAGUUAGAGGUGAAAGCCUGGAGCUCAACUCCAGAACUGCCUUUAAGACUGCAUCGCUUGAAUCCAGGAGAGGUGAGUGGAAUUCCGAGUGUAGAGGUGAAAUUCGUAGAUAUUCGGAAGAACACCAGUGGCGAAGGCGGCUCACCUGGACUGGUAUUGACCCUGAGGUUGCGAAAGCGUGGGGAGCAAACCAGGAAUUAGAUACCCUUGGUACUCCACGCCGUAAACGAUGAUAACUAGCUGUCCGGGGGACUUGG